AGAGUUGAUCCUGGCUCAGAACGAACGCUGGCGGCAGGCCUAACACAUGCAAGUCGAGCGCGCCCUUCGGGGUGAGCGGCGGACGGGUUAGUAACGCGUGGGAACGUACCCUUUGGUAGGGAAUAGCCACUGGAAACGGUGAGUAAUACCCUAUGAGCCCUUCGGGGGAAAGAUUUAUCGCCAAAGGAUCGGCCCGCGUUAGAUUAGGUAGUUGGUGGGGUAAUGGCCUACCAAGCCUACGAUCUAUAGCUGGUUUUAGAGGAUGAUCAGCAACACUGGGACUGAGACACGGCCCAGACUCCUACGGGAGGCAGCAGUGGGGAAUCUUGGACAAUGGGGGCAACCCUGAUCCCAGCCAUGCCGCGUGAGUGAAGAAGGCCCUAGGGUCGUAAAGCUCUUUCGCCUGUGAAGAUAAUGACGGUAGCAGGUAAAGAAACCCCGGCUAACUCCGUGCCAGCAGCCGC
RNAcentral lists this ribosomal RNA (464 nucleotides) under uncultured bacterium. RNAcentral describes it as "bacterial SSU rRNA". It matches the Rfam family "Bacterial small subunit ribosomal RNA", at positions 8 to 518 of the family's 1533-position model. The record is from RNAcentral.